GACGAACGCUGGCGGCGUGCUUAACACAUGCAAGUCGAACGAAAAGACGGAAAGAGCUUGCUCUUUUCAGAAUUGAGUGGCAAACGGGUGAGUAACACGUAAACAACCUGCCUUCAGGAUGGGGACAACAGACGGAAACGACUGCUAAUACCGAAUAAGUUCCAAGAGCCGCAUGGCCCAUGGAAGAAAAGGUGGCCUCUACCUGUAAGCUAUCGCCUGAAGAGGGGUUUGCGUCUGAUUAGCUGGUUGGAGGGGUAACGGCCCACCAAGGCGACGAUCAGUAGCCGGUCUGAGAGGAUGAACGGCCACACUGGAACUGAGACACGGUCCAGACUCCUACGGGAGGCAGCAGUGGGGAAUCUUCCGCAAUGGGCGAAAGCCUGACGGAGCAACGCCGCGUGAGUGAUGACGGCCUUCGGGUUGUAAAACUCUGCGAUCCGGGACGAAAAGGCAGAGUGCGAAGAACAAACUGCAUUGACGGUACCGGA
This 488-nucleotide ribosomal RNA is filed under the name Dialister invisus. Its description in RNAcentral is "bacterial SSU rRNA". It matches the Rfam family "Bacterial small subunit ribosomal RNA", at positions 28 to 482 of the family's 1533-position model. Lineage: Bacteria; Bacillati; Bacillota; Negativicutes; Veillonellales; Veillonellaceae. The record is from RNAcentral.